UAUAUCAAGCCAGCCCUUCCACAUCGUC
RNAcentral lists this small RNA (28 nucleotides) under Bombyx mori (domestic silkworm). Its description in RNAcentral is "piRNA piR-bmo-1563456". The record is from RNAcentral. Lineage: Eukaryota; Metazoa; Arthropoda; Insecta; Lepidoptera; Bombycidae.